RNAcentral lists this ribosomal RNA (371 nucleotides) under Salmonella enterica. RNAcentral describes it as "partial 23S ribosomal RNA". It matches the Rfam family "Bacterial large subunit ribosomal RNA", at positions 911 to 1278 of the family's 2925-position model. Lineage: Bacteria; Pseudomonadati; Pseudomonadota; Gammaproteobacteria; Enterobacterales; Enterobacteriaceae. The record is from RNAcentral.
UGUUUCGGCUAGGGGGCCAUCCCGGCUUACCAACCCGAUGCAAACUGCGAAUACCGGAGAAUGUUAUCACGGGAGACACACGGCGGGUGCUAACGUCCGUCGUGAAGAGGGAAACAACCCAGACCGCCAGCUAAGGUCCCAAAGUCAUGGUUAAGUGGGAAACGAUGUGGGAAGGCCCAGACAGCCAGGAUGUUGGCUUAGAAGCAGCCAUCAUUUAAAGAAAGCGUAAUAGCUCACUGGUCGAGUCGGCCUGCGCGGAAGAUGUAACGGGGCUAAACCAUGCACCGAAGCUGCGGCAGCGACACUCAGGUGUUGUUGGGUAGGGGAGCGUUCUGUAAGCCUGCGAAGGUGGCCUGUGAGGGUUGCUGGAG